This 422-nucleotide ribosomal RNA is filed under the name uncultured bacterium. RNAcentral describes it as "bacterial SSU rRNA". It matches the Rfam family "Bacterial small subunit ribosomal RNA", at positions 355 to 774 of the family's 1533-position model. The record is from RNAcentral.
UAGGGAAUAUUGGGCAAUGGACGCAAGUCUGACCCAGCCAUGCCGCGUGGAGGAAGACGGCGCUCAGCGUUGUAAACUCCUUUUAUCAGGGAAGAACAGCAGAGAUGCGUUUCUGUGUGACGGUACCUGAAGAAUAAGCACCGGCUAACUCCGUGCCAGCAGCCGCGGUAAUACGGAGGGUGCAAGCGUUGUCCGGAUUUAUUGGGUUUAAAGGGUGCGUAGGUGGUUGAGUAAGUCUGGUUUGAAAGUCAGUCGCUUAACGAUUGAGGGUGGCUGGAUACUGCUGAACUUGAAUGCCCUGGAGGUAGGUGGAACGGGUUGUGUAGCGGUGAAAUGCAUAGAUAUGACCCAGAACCCCAAUUGCGAAGGCAGCCUACUACGGGGUGAUUGACACUGAGGCACGAGAGCAUGGGGAGCAAACA